Molecule: ribosomal RNA, 497 nt
Filed under: uncultured bacterium
Lineage: Bacteria
Description: partial 16S ribosomal RNA
Rfam family: Bacterial small subunit ribosomal RNA
Source: RNAcentral
GAUGAACGCUGGCGGCGUGCCUAAUACAUGCAAGUCGAGCGAACAGAUGAGGAGCUUGCUCCUCUGACGUUAGCGGCGGACGGGUGAGUAACACGUGGAUAACCUACCUAUAAGACUGGGAUAACUUCGGGAAACCGGAGCUAAUACCGGAUAAUAUAUUGAACCGCAUGGUUCAAUAGUGAAAGACGGUUUUGCUGUCACUUAUAGAUGGAUCCGCGCCGCAUUAGCUAGUUGGUAAGGUAACGGCUUACCAAGGCAACGAUGCGUAGCCGACCUGAGAGGGUGAUCGGCCGCACUGGAACUGAGACACGGUCCAGACUCCUACGGGAGGCAGCAGUAGGGAAUCUUCCGCAAUGGGCGAAAGCCUGACGGAGCAACGCCGCGUGAGUGAUGAAGGUCUUCGGAUCGUAAAACUCUGUUAUUAGGGAAGAACAAAUGUGUAAGUAACUAUGCACGUCUUGACGGCACCUAAUCAGAAAGCCACGGCUAACUACGUG